RNAcentral lists this non-coding RNA (19 nucleotides) under Arabidopsis thaliana (thale cress). Lineage: Eukaryota; Viridiplantae; Streptophyta; Magnoliopsida; Brassicales; Brassicaceae. The record is from RNAcentral.
GGGGGUAGGGGUAGCUAUA